Molecule: ribosomal RNA, 441 nt
Filed under: uncultured bacterium
Lineage: Bacteria
Description: bacterial SSU rRNA
Rfam family: Bacterial small subunit ribosomal RNA
Source: RNAcentral
CUACGGGAGGCAGCAGUGGGGAAUCUUCCACAAUGGGCGAAAGCCUGAUGGAGCAACGCCGCGUGCAGGAUGAAGGCCCUCGGGUCGUAAACUGCUUUUAUGAGUGAAGAAUAUGACGGUAACUCAUGAAUAAGCACCGGCUAACUACGUGCCAGCAGCCGCGGUCAUACGUAGGGUGCAAGCAUUAUCCGGAGUGACUGGGCGUAAAGAGUUGCGUAGGCGGUUAGUAAAGCGAAUAGUGAAACCUGGUGGCUCAACCAUCAGACUAUUGUUCGAACUCACUAACUCGAGAAUGGUAGAGGUAACUGGAAUUUCUUGUGUAGGAGUGAAAUGCGUAGAUAUAAGAAGGAACACCAAUGGCGUAGGCAGGUUACUGGACCAAUACUGACGCUGAGGCACGAAAGCGUGGGGAGCGAACCGGAUUAGAUACCCUUGUAGUCC